UCUUCCCCUAUUCAAACACCCAUAUAAAACCUCCUCCUCCUCCCCCGCCGCACUCAGGGCCAGUGGUCUUAUUGCCCUCUCCCGCCCGCUCCCAGGCUCCAAUAAACUUCGUCUGUUGCGUCUCCUGAUUCAGUGGACUCAGUCAAGCUUCAGUUUACUCUAAUAACCACCUGGGUGUGAGCGGAUCUGUGUUGGCAGAAGACGUAGUGAAAGCGGAGGAACCCUCAGCAGUCUAGGACCCAGGGAAUCCGCAAUACAGAAGUUCAUGCCUUCAGAAUUUGGCGCUUUUCCCAGGCACCCCCGCGGCUAAGGAGCACGCCCUGCCGGCGCAUGCGCAAUAGAGCCCACCGGCAACGCCCAUGAGGUCCGCCAUGACUUCCUGCUCAGGAAGUCGCCUCAGAGCGCUCUGCAGUUUCUGGUCAGACGAAGUCAGUCCAGGCUGAGAUCACUGUGGAUUUCAGCUGUGUCACUGCAGAUUCCUCACUCUGACUCACUGGCUUUUAAUGUCAGGAGAGAAAACUAAGCAGCAUUUUGCAGUUUUCAGUAAGAUGCUCUAAAUAUACUCGGAUACUAUUCCAAUGCGAACUGGCUGCAGUGACUGCACAGGGCGGUGGAGCGGAUCUCUCAGGCGGACUUGGAUGUCAGUCCUUCCUGCUGUCUGGCUGGAAUGGUCAUGCGGGUGGAGCACAGAGGCCGUCAGCCAGACUCCUAGAUUUCAGCUCGGUGAUAACAGAGUGUAAUGUCUGGCAGAAGUAUGAUGCAGAAAAUCCUUAUCUCAGUCCUGCUUUCUACAAUGGAUCACAAAUUGUAAGGUGUGCUAUAGGAUACCACAAAUAACAUUUCUGGGGGGCAGUUACAGACUUCUCUCCUACUCAUUUGGAAUGAAAAUUCUCUCCCGAUCCCUAAACUCCUAUUCCUGGUGGCGACAUCAGCCUGGGCAUAGAAACUCAGAAUUGCAAGUGUGUUCUUUUCAGCCCCAGACAGAGCUCACGUUGCAGGCCUCCAGAGCAGGGCCAACUGCAAAAGCAGCCUGAUUCUCUGAGCAUAUGUGGGGAGAGCAGAGGACAAUAGAAGAGUCCGCAGCUCAUCCUCUCCUCUGAGGAACAGAAGCAGAUCCUACAUCCUUGAACUAUUCUUCAAAUCUGAUGAUGCUUCCUAUCUGAUCAGUGUCUCACUCCUCAGUGUACUCAGGUGAUGUCUGAUCACCCCGGGCUCUCUCUUCAGUUAGAAUCCUGUCAGGGCAGUUCUGCCAGACUCCCUCACUGUCCCCGCUCCAUGCUCCCUGUUAGCUCCAAGCACACACGAGCCCGUCCACCAUUCAGAAUCCACCUCAACAAACCACAUUUCAGUGCAUUCUAUACUGAGGGUUAUGUCCCAACCAAAUAAAA
Long non-coding RNA from Chinchilla lanigera (long-tailed chinchilla), 1388 nucleotides. RefSeq lists it as uncharacterized. The record is from RefSeq and is a predicted model, not a curated record. The transcript has 4 exons. Lineage: Eukaryota; Metazoa; Chordata; Mammalia; Rodentia; Chinchillidae.